CAAGGACUCACACUAUCCUGGUCUUAGCCUCAUAAGUGAUUAAGUAUGCAUUGAGAAGAUAUUGCAAUAACUCCCUUCAUUGUGGCUUCAGUGUACAAAUAUCCACAAGGACUCCUUCUUUACCAUUCUAGUUCAGUGCUCAUAUCUCUACAACACAGGGAUUUCUCCAUCUUUCAAAAUAUGGUCUCUACACUGGUACCAGGACUAGAAUGUGCAAUUAGAAGCACAGGAAGAUGAAGUUUGGUGAACCUCUUACUUAAAAGAUAUCUCAUCUCCCCUUUCCACACAACUGAAGCAACCUAAUCCACUUCAUUCAUUUUACAUUUAGAAUUACAUUUUAGAAUUGCACAUUUUCUCGGGUCAACACGUGUCAAGGAUUUAGCCCUAUGGGCCCUGAAAUAGACACUAUCUUUUUCAUUCCUUUGAUUUACUCAUGGCAUGCUUAGACAUUUAUUACAGCAUCUCAUUAAGUAGUGAAUGAGACUCAUGUGUGCAGAACAGAUCUAAAAUUGUUUCUGAGAUGUAGAUUUUUUCGAAAAGUCUCAACAUUUCUUCCACACAAAGAUAGAUGUCAUACCUAUGUAUCAAUUAGAGCUUUAAUGGAAUAAGAUUAUCUGUUCUAUGGUAAUAAAGUUUUCUUUCUUCUGAGCA
This 651-nucleotide long non-coding RNA is filed under the name Mus spicilegus (steppe mouse). RNAcentral describes it as "lncRNA (ENSMSIG00000004245.1)". The record is from RNAcentral. Lineage: Eukaryota; Metazoa; Chordata; Mammalia; Rodentia; Muridae.